This 790-nucleotide ribosomal RNA is filed under the name uncultured archaeon. RNAcentral's name for it is "bacterial SSU rRNA". It matches the Rfam family "Archaeal small subunit ribosomal RNA", at positions 23 to 797 of the family's 1478-position model. The record is from RNAcentral.
CCGACUGCUAUUCGGGUAAGACUAAGCCAUGCAAGUCGAAUGGAACAGCUUGUUCCAUGGCGAACUGCUCAGUAACAAGUGAUCAACUUACCCUUCAGUGGAGAAUAACCUCGGGAAACUGAGGCUAAUACUUCAUAGUUGGAAAUUCCUGGAAAGGUUUUCCAUCGAAAGAUAUUUCUAAAUGCGGAAAAUUCGCUGAAGGAUAGGAUCGCUUUCGAUUACGGUUGUUGGUGAGGUAAUGGCUCACCAAGCCUAUGAUCGAUAAGGGCCGUGAGAGCGGUAGCCCUGAGAUGGAUACUGAGACAAUGAUCCAGGCCUUACGAGGCGCAGCAGGCGCGAAACCUUUACAAUGCACGAAAGUGUGAUAAGGUUACCCGGAGUGCUAAAAUUAAAUUUUAGCUGUUAUAGGUGUGUAAAUAACCCUAUGAGAAAGGAGAGGGCAAGGCUGGUGCCAGCCGCCGCGGUAAAACCAGCUCUUCAAGUGGUCGGGAAUAUUAUUGGGCUUAAAGUGUCCGUAGCCGGUUUGGUAAGUUCCUGGUUAAAUCUGGCAGCUUAACUGUCAGUCAGCUAGGAAUACUACUUUACUAGAGGGUGGGAAAGGUUUGAGGUACUCCAGGGGUAGCGGUGAAAUGCGAUAAUCCUUGGGGGACCACCAGUGGCGAAGGCGUCAGACUGGAACACGCCUGACGGUGAGGGACGAAAGCCAGGGGAGCGAACGGGAUUAGAUACCCCGGUAGUCCUGGCCGUAAACGAUGCGUGCUAGGUGUUGGUAGGGCUUUGAGCUGUAUCA